GGCUCAGGAUGAACGCUAGCGGCAGGCUUAACACAUGCAAGUCGAGGGGCAGCGCGAGUAGCAAUACUUGGCGGCGACCGGCGCAAGGGUGCGUAACGCGUGAGCAACAUGCCCGUAUCAGGGGGAUAAUCCAGGGAAACUUGGUCUAAUACCCAUAGUAAUUUUGUAAGGCAUCUUAUAAGAUUUAAAGCUUUGGUGGAUACGGAUUGGCUCGCGUGACAUUAGCUGGAUGGUAAGGUAACGGCUUACCAUGGCUAUGAUGUCUAGGGGUUCUGAGAGGAAGGUCCCCCACACUGGAACUGAGACACGGUCCAGACUCCUACGGGAGGCAGCAGUGAGGAAUAUUGGACAAUGGAUGGAAAUCUGAUCCAGCCAUGCCGCGUGAAGGAAGAAGGUUCCCUAUGGAUUGUAAACUGCUUUUGUAUCGGGAGCAAUAAGGGCUACGCGUAGUCCGAUGAGAGUACCAUACGAAUAAGCACCGGCUAACUCCGUGCCAGCAGCAGC
RNAcentral lists this ribosomal RNA (504 nucleotides) under uncultured bacterium. RNAcentral describes it as "bacterial SSU rRNA". It matches the Rfam family "Bacterial small subunit ribosomal RNA", at positions 21 to 518 of the family's 1533-position model. The record is from RNAcentral.